AAUUUUCCACAAUGGGCGCGAGCCUGAUGGAGCAACGCCGCGUGCAGGAUGAAGGUUCUUGGAUUGUAAACUGCUUUUGUGGGUGAUGAGUCUGACGGUAACCCACGAAUAAGGGCCGGCUAACUACGUGCCAGCAGCCGCGGUCAUACGUAGGGCCCAAGCGUUAUCCGGAUUUACUGGGCGUAAAGAGUUGCGUAGGCGGCCGUUUAAGCGCGAUAUUAAAUCAGGUGGCUUAACCAUCUAAAUGUAUCGCGAACUGGGCGGCUUGAGUCUCGGAGAGGUUGCUGGAAUUUCUGGUGGAGGAGUGGAAUCCGUAGAUAUCAGAAGGAACACCGAUGGCGUAGGCAGGUGACUGGCCGACGACUGACGCUAAGGCACGAAAGCGUGGGGAGCGAACGGGAUUAGAUACCCCGGUAGUCCACGCUGUA
This 428-nucleotide ribosomal RNA is filed under the name uncultured marine bacterium. RNAcentral's name for it is "bacterial SSU rRNA". It matches the Rfam family "Bacterial small subunit ribosomal RNA", at positions 360 to 804 of the family's 1533-position model. The record is from RNAcentral.